Molecule: ribosomal RNA, 522 nt
Filed under: Madagascesa sp. n. 1 BFS-2018
Lineage: Eukaryota; Metazoa; Arthropoda; Insecta; Hymenoptera; Ichneumonidae
Description: partial 16S large subunit ribosomal RNA
Rfam family: Archaeal large subunit ribosomal RNA (bases 394-522)
Source: RNAcentral
ACAUGUCUUUUAGAAAAUAAUUUAAAGUCAAAUCUGCUCAAUGAUUAAAAUUAAAUAGCUGCAGAAAUUUAACUGUACAAAGGUAGCAUAAUCAAUAGUUUUUUAAUUAAAAGCUGGUAUGAAUGAUUUAAUAAAGUAAAUAUUGUCUCAAACUUAAUAGUAGUAAAAAUUUUUUUUUAGUAAAAAUACUAAAAUGAUUUUAAAAGACGAGAAGACCCUAUAGAUUUUUAUAUUUUAAUAUAAAAAAAUUUAAAUAUUAAAAAAUAAAUUUUAUAUGAUGAAUAUUUGAUUGGGGUAAUUAUUAAAUUAAAAAAAUUUUAAUAUAUAUAUUAAUGAUUAUGAUUAUAAAAUAUUUGAUUUUAAUUAAAAAUAAAAAGAAAAAAAUACCUUAGGGAUAACAGCGUAAUUUUUUUUGAGAGAUCUUAUUGAUAAAAAAGAUUGCGACCUCGAUGUUGAAUUAAGAUAAAAUUUUAAUGUAGAAGUUAAAAAUUUUUGGUCUGUUCGACCAUUAAAAUCUUACGU